UACGGAGGGUGCAAGCGUUAAUCGGAAUUACUGGGCGUAAAGCGUGCGUAGGCGGCUUGAUAAGCCGGUUGUGAAAGCCACAGGCUCAACCUGGGGACGGCAUCCGGAACUGUCAAGCUAGAGUGCAGGAGAGGAAGGUAGAAUUCCCGGUGUAGCGGUGAAAUGCGUAGAGAUCGGGAGGAAUACCAGUGGCGAAGGCGGCCUUCUGGACUGACACUGACACUGAGGUGCGAAAGCGUGGGGAGCAAACAGG
This 253-nucleotide unclassified non-coding RNA is filed under the name uncultured Halomonadaceae bacterium. RNAcentral describes it as "contains 16S-23S intergenic spacer region". It matches the Rfam family "Bacterial small subunit ribosomal RNA", at positions 524 to 776 of the family's 1533-position model. The record is from RNAcentral. Lineage: Bacteria; Pseudomonadati; Pseudomonadota; Gammaproteobacteria; Oceanospirillales; Halomonadaceae.